Molecule: long non-coding RNA, 1145 nt
Organism: Rosa rugosa (rugosa rose)
Lineage: Eukaryota; Viridiplantae; Streptophyta; Magnoliopsida; Rosales; Rosaceae
Exons: 3
Source: RefSeq, a predicted model, not a curated record
AUCUCACAACUCUACCGUGCAGCAUUUGUGGGUUGCAAAAUUUGUGGUUUCUUGAUCUUGGUGAAUGCUCAAAACUUGUCAGAUUUCCAACAAAUACCAAGAUUUUGAAUGUCGAUGGUUGCUCACUGUCACUUCCCAAGCUAGGUGUGUUCAGUAUCUCAGGAUGCAGUUCAUUAUCAGAUUGUGAUUUCCUGAUGACUCUUGAUUGCUGGGAAACAUUAGAGUGGCUUAAUCUGUCAAGAAACAAUUUUGUUAGUCUUCCUGCUUGCUUCACCAAAUUUGUCAGGUUGCGUGACCUUGACUUGCGGGAUUGCAAGAGACUCCGAGGAAUUCCGGAGCUUCCACCAAACGUUAAACCACAAACCUGGGGUUGUGAAUCACUGGAGGAGAGAUCCUCGACAUUGACAGAUCCUGGAGCUGUGAUAGAGGCGGCGUCGCCGUCAAUUGAAGAGCCAACUCCAUCCCCAGCACCAGUGAAUCCUCCGAAACCACAACGCACUGCCGCCGGGGGGCAAGCAUCAAUGGUCCAUUCUGCUCAUGAAAUGGCUAUCUCCCCAAUCCCCAUGAUCCCUGACCUGCAGACCCAUCACGGUCGCUGGCAUUGGUGGCGUUCGUAUCUUCAACCGAGUUGUUAAGGCUUUGGGUAUGAGCCUGUUUUGAGGCUGUCUUCAUCUGCUAUUUACUCAUCAAUCUGAGUUCUAGCCUGGCUUUGGCUAAGUUUCUUGCUUCGAGGUGAUGCGGCAGGUGUGUGCUGACCUUCUUGAGGAAAAUGAAAUUGGUUUUCAUUGUUUCUAAGGAUGGAAUUGAUACUGUUAGAGUGGUAUGCCGAUUCGAAUUCCGAGCAAUAAGCUACCAAAAGGCAGGCAUUUAAUUGGGGAUAGCAUGGUUUACGAUGUGGGUGUUUGGUUGCCCGGGGAGUUUCAGCCGCAGCUAGAAGUUACCCCCAUAGCUAAGUAUGGUUCGGAUCCUCAGCUGGUGUUGGGCCGCCAAAUUGCGGUGAAUAAGUCAUAUAUAUGCUAUGGAUUGAAGCAGGGGAAUAUUCGGGUUUUGAAUAUACACACUGCAUUGAGAUCGUUGUUUCGAGCUCAUACACAGAGGGUCACAGACAUGGCUUUCUUUGCCGAGGAUGUUCAGCUUUUGGCUAG